Molecule: ribosomal RNA, 469 nt
Filed under: uncultured bacterium
Lineage: Bacteria
Description: partial 16S ribosomal RNA
Rfam family: Bacterial small subunit ribosomal RNA
Source: RNAcentral
GACGAACGCUGGCGGCGUGCUUAACACAUGCAAGUCGAACGGAAAGGCCCUGCUUUUGUGGGGUGCUCGAGUGGCGAACGGGUGAGUAACACGUGAGUAACCUGCCCUUGACUUUGGGAUAACUUCAGGAAACUGGGGCUAAUACCGGAUAGGAGCUCCUGCUGCAUGGUGGGGGUUGGAAAGUUUCGGCGGUUGGGGAUGGACUCGCGGCUUAUCAGCUUGUUGGUGGGGUAGUGGCUUACCAAGGCUUUGACGGGUAGCCGGCCUGAGAGGGUGACCGGCCACAUUGGGACUGAGAUACGGCCCAGACUCCUACGGGAGGCAGCAGUGGGGAAUAUUGCACAAUGGGCGGAAGCCUGAUGCAGCAACGCCGUGUGCGGGAGGACGGCCUUCGGGCUGUAAACCGCUUUCGCUCAUGACGAAGCUUUGUGUGACGGUAGUGGGUAAAGAAGCACCGGCUAACUACGUG